Long non-coding RNA from Dermacentor silvarum, 2831 nucleotides. RefSeq lists it as uncharacterized. Lineage: Eukaryota; Metazoa; Arthropoda; Arachnida; Ixodida; Ixodidae. The record is from RefSeq and is a predicted model, not a curated record. The transcript has 3 exons.
CCUGGGGCACUGGAGCGCAUGCGCAAAUGGCUGAGAAUAGUGCGUAAAGUUUGCUUGAAGAAACGGCCGCCGGUAGGCUCGCCCGUCAUAUUCACGCUACCGUCACCCGUCUUAGUUCUACCUCUACAUUCUGUUCUGGCAGCGAUUGUCGAUGUUAGGCGCGGUGUCUACCACUUUACCGACCCUAAAACAGCCAUGGGUUGCGCGGCCAGCUUUUGCUUUAGGGCGUGCUUCGAAGCUUUGAGUCGUGGCUGCUCCAAUUAUGGCUUGAACUCCCGCAAGUGCGGUUACUGGACUCUUUUUUUGCUCCGGAAUUCUCGGACGGCCCAUCGGAGCUCCUGGAAUCAAUAUGUGGCGCCCGGCCGCCACUCCGUUCGUUCUUGCGCACGAGCUGUCACGCCUGACGCCAACGACUCCUUAGCUAUUGCUGCCGAAAAGUUUCAAGUCGUGCCUGCCUCGGUCUUUCCUUUUGUGCGCGUGUUCCCACGAACCAACUGACCGUGCCAUUGAACCGAGGGACAACGGAGCAACUGUCGUCGCCACAUGCUUCAACUAACUGAUGAGGUGCAGCUCGUGCAACCAAGUGACCAUGGCACUACCCUGAGGGACACCCAAGCAACGGUCGUCGCUUCUUGGCUUCGGCAGCUAACUCACUAGGUGGGAUCGACUGUGAACUGUGGUACACGAGCUUGUCAGGGUGGUGCGGCUAUUAACUACUUUGUUAACACUGAUUGGCCACAUUGACCUAUUAUGUGGAGUUAACUGCAGUAAAUUAGGCACCAGAUGCCUUGGACGGCCGCAGUCACAUCGGGUCGUCGCCGUGAAGGAAGCGGAGAGGACCGUGUGGGGCGAUUAUAGGUUUCUUAGCUGACACUGGGCAGGUUCAGCUGGUAGUGGUCCUCUCUCGCUUGUGACACGGCCGUCGGCCCAUUCCGAGUGCCAUUGCUUCCCGGCCACAAUUUCGCGCCAUCGCGCGCGUCCGGGCGCGAAAUGUGGAAUGGCGCAAGUAAAUGGCAUCCGGAAUUAGUGUCAGGUUAAUCAAUGACGUUUACCGCCCUAGGGUUAGUCUAGCGACACUGAAGAAUGGACGUCGCCUUCGGUCCGUAACGCGGCGCGUUGCGGCAAAAGUAGGUGGGCACUGUUUUUUUCUUGUCCAUUCUGUGUGCCCCGCUGUGUUUUUGUCGCUCGACACGCCGACCAUGUUGGACGCGUUCAUCGGCCACGGCCCGCGCGACCGACGCUUGCCAUGGUGAGUACCUACUUUCUGGUUAUAUUGGUUAUUUGAAAAGUCGGCCUCUUUUAGUUCCAGAUACCCAACCGAUAGGACUUUGGCUUCUUGAGCACUUGGGCAAUGCUCCUGCACCCGGCCCUAUCCCAGACGAAUUACGUUCAGUGCCUCGCGGCUGAUCGUGUCUGCACUUCUGCUCCAGCCUCACAGCUACAGGUUUCCGGGCGAAUGAAGAAACCUGCAUUACCUGCCCUGCCGUACGUUGACUGCGCGUAAUCUGGAACCCUUGUCGUCACAUCCACUUCACCUCAAGACCUGACCCCUCUGCGUAGUAGACAAGAGCUGACCGUUUUGAGGCAGGCUUUGCUCUCGCCACAGUCCAUCACAUUGCUUACACCCGACGACGUGGCGUUGCACAAAAGGCCCCUCUCUGCGUUCUCCAUGUUGCCUCUACGACGGUACAUAACUACGGAGUCAUGACGCGUACACCGACCUCGACAUCCCGGAAGCUGCAUCAUGGCCGCUCGAUGAAUGUUUGACGGGCGGACCAAACAAUUCCAGGGAACAUGCCGUGCUGGCUCAUCGCUGGUACACUGCUCAGGGUUUGUCGAGCAUAGGGUUGAUCUGGCGUUUCAUGCUCGUGCACGUUAAUUCACAUUCUGUGCUCUCGUAAUGGUACGCUGAUGCUGGUUCGCGUUGCGAAGUAGUGCGCGCGUAGAGAGUGUGUGAUGCUGCAUGUAUGUUGUCUGUCUAGUGUACGUGCGUGCUACUUCACUCAUUUCAUCUGGUAUUUGGCAUAACUUUCGCCGGCGUCUGUUCUCAAUUCUUCCACGAAAUUUUUGGUGGCUGCUCUCGUUUAAUCGGUGCAUUCUUUCAGAAAGCCCCUUGAUGGUUCCUCAGUGACAGUCGCGAAUAUUUUCGCAAAAUCUUCCAACUUUAGCACUGGGCAUUUCUCUGACUUGCAGGGUGUCCAGUCGUCCACCCGUGUAUUCGGCCAUGGCCCUUAGCUUCUUGUCAAAUUCUUUUCUACUUGAAGGGGUCUAUCUGUUGGUAUCAAUGCCUUAUCCACUUUGUUUGCGAAGUGAUUCAUCAUGGCUAAUGCGAAACAUCAGCGUACCAUUACAAACGACAUAUGGUGUGAAUUAAACAGCUACAUUGCCUUAUUCGCGUCACAAUUAUGAGAUUAUCCUUUGAGAUCUGGUGCUGAAAUGGCACCAUUAAUCAUGUUAGUGGUAGAGCAGCGUACCACUCCCCAGCGAAGCAAAGCAGGUCCUGGAUCUCCCUUCAGCACCGUUGCACGUUGAGCGGACAUCACCGCCACACGUGCCUGCGUUGUUCACCGUUCCUUUUGCCCUCCUUGAGUGAUCACUGCCCUGUGGAAAUUCACCUGCUUGCAUAAACUUAUUGUACGCUUCUAUAACAUGCACUUGUUGUACCAUGUUCACUGGGACUAAAUAAAAUUUUUUUCAUAUCACCGCCUUUCACCCCCCAUGUGAAAAAAACAUUGUAAGGUUGUAAAAGUAAUUCAGAUAUACAAAUGAUGCUUACAUGUUGGUUGUGUGGUUAGGGGUAGCAAUUGCCUGGCAAUGUGCCUAAACCCACC